UACGUAGGGUGCAAGCGUUGUCCGGAAUUAUUGGGCGUAAAGAGCUCGUAGGCGGUUUGUCGCGUCGGCUGUGAAAACUGGAGGCUUAACCUUCAGCGUGCAGUCGAUACGGGCAGACUUGAAUUCGGUAGGGGAGACUGGAAUUCCUGGUGUAGCGGUGAAAUGCGCAGAUAUCAGGAGGAACACCGGUGGCGAAGGCGGGUCUCUGGGCCGAUACUGACGCUGAGGCACGAAAGCGUGGGGAUCAAACAGGAUUAGA
This 259-nucleotide ribosomal RNA is filed under the name uncultured bacterium. RNAcentral describes it as "partial 16S ribosomal RNA". It matches the Rfam family "Bacterial small subunit ribosomal RNA", at positions 524 to 782 of the family's 1533-position model. The record is from RNAcentral.